Molecule: unclassified non-coding RNA, 405 nt
Filed under: soil metagenome
Description: partial contains 5.8S ribosomal RNA, internal transcribed spacer 2, and large subunit ribosomal RNA
Rfam family: 5.8S ribosomal RNA (bases 1-121)
Source: RNAcentral
GAUGAAGAACGCAGCGAAAUGCGAUAAGUAAUGUGAAUUGCAGAAUUCAGUGAAUCAUUGAAUCUUUGAACGCACCUUGCGCCCUUUGGCCAUUCCGAAGGGCAUGCCUGUUUGAGUAUCAUGAACACCUCAACUCUUUAUGGUUUUCCAUGAUGAGCUUGGACUCUGGGGGUUUUGCUGGCUCACAGUCGGCUCCUCUAAAAUGAAUCAGCUUACCAGUGUUUGGUGGGUAUCAUGGGUGUGAUAACUAUCUACGCUUGUGGUUUUUCCACCAGGUAACCUUCAGCAGUGGAGGUUCGCUGGAGCUCAUAGAUGUCUCUCCUCAGUGAGGACAGCCCUUUGAAUGUUUGAUCUCAAAUCAGGUAGGACUACCCGCUGAACUUAAGCAUAUCAAUAAGCGGAGGA